This 245-nucleotide ribosomal RNA is filed under the name uncultured bacterium. Its description in RNAcentral is "partial 16S ribosomal RNA". It matches the Rfam family "Bacterial small subunit ribosomal RNA", at positions 528 to 772 of the family's 1533-position model. The record is from RNAcentral.
UAGGUUGCGAGCGUUGUCCGGAUUUACUGGGUGUAAAGGGCGUGUAGGCGGAGAUGCAAGUCAGGAGUGAAAUACCGGGGCUCAACCCCGGAACUGCUUUUGAAACUGUAUCCCUUGAGUGUCGGAGAGGCAAGCGGAAUUCCUAGUGUAGCGGUGAAAUGCGUAGAUAUUAGGAGGAACACCAGUGGCGAAGGCGGCUUGCUGGACGAUAACUGACGCUGAGGCGCGAAAGCGUGGGGAGCAAA